RNAcentral lists this transfer RNA (59 nucleotides) under Microbacterium sp. Se63.02b. RNAcentral describes it as "tRNA-OTHER". It matches the Rfam family "tRNA". Rfam says of the family: Transfer RNA (tRNA) molecules are approximately 80 nucleotides in length. Their secondary structure includes four short double-helical elements and three loops (D, anti-codon, and T loops). The record is from RNAcentral. Lineage: Bacteria; Bacillati; Actinomycetota; Actinomycetes; Micrococcales; Microbacteriaceae. RNAcentral also lists the same sequence under 1 other name.
CGACACGUAGCUCAGCAGGCAGAGCCACGGCGCAGGUUCGAAUCCUGCCGUGUCGACCA